Molecule: non-coding RNA, 67 nt
Organism: Potamilus streckersoni
Lineage: Eukaryota; Metazoa; Mollusca; Bivalvia; Unionida; Unionidae
Source: the annotation of a GenBank genome assembly
GUGGCCUAGUGGUUAGAGCGUCCGCCUCUGAUGCGGGAGGUCGUGGGUUAAAACCCCGGUCAAGUCA